AAUUAUAUAGCUUAUAUAGAGCGAUUUACUGAAGAUAAAUGAAGACUAGAUCUUUAUCAUGA
Molecule: transfer RNA, 62 nt
Filed under: Carrhotus xanthogramma
Lineage: Eukaryota; Metazoa; Arthropoda; Arachnida; Araneae; Salticidae
Description: tRNA-Phe
Source: RNAcentral